UAGUAAUUAGUUUAAAUUAAAAUAAGUGAUUUCGACUCACUAGAUUAUGAAUAAUCAUAAUUACUAA
RNAcentral lists this transfer RNA (67 nucleotides) under Parasciurus arizonensis. Its description in RNAcentral is "tRNA-Arg". It matches the Rfam family "tRNA". From Rfam's summary of the family: Transfer RNA (tRNA) molecules are approximately 80 nucleotides in length. Lineage: Eukaryota; Metazoa; Chordata; Mammalia; Rodentia; Sciuridae. RNAcentral also lists the same sequence under 1 other name. The record is from RNAcentral.